RNAcentral lists this ribosomal RNA (292 nucleotides) under uncultured bacterium. Its description in RNAcentral is "partial 16S ribosomal RNA". It matches the Rfam family "Bacterial small subunit ribosomal RNA", at positions 505 to 796 of the family's 1533-position model. The record is from RNAcentral.
GUGCCAGCAGCCGCGGUAAUACGUAGGGGGCAAGCGUUGUCCGGAUUUAUUGGGCGUAAAGAGCGUGUAGGCGGCCAGGUAGGUCUGCUGUGAAAACUCGAGGCUUAACCUCGAGCUGUCGGCGGAAACCAUCUGGCUAGAGUCCGGAAGAGGAGAAUGGAAUUCCCGGUGUAGCGGUGAAAUGCGCAGAUAUCGGGAAGAACACCCGUGGCGAAGGCGGUUCUCUGGGACGGUACUGACGCUGAGACGCGAAAGCGUGGGGAGCGAACAGGAUUAGAUACCCUGGUAGUCC